CUCAGGAUGAACGCUGGCGGCGUGCCUAAUACAUGCAAGUCGAACGCUUUGUGGUUCAACUGAUUUGAAGAGCUUGCUCAGAUAUGACGAUGGACAUUGCAAAGAGUGGCGAACGGGUGAGUAACACGUGGGAAACCUACCUCUUAGCAGGGGAUAACAUUUGGAAACAGAUGCUAAUACCGUAUAACAAUGACAACCGCAUGGUUGUUAUUUAAAAGAUGGUUCUGCUAUCACUAAGAGAUGGUCCCGCGGUGCAUUAGCUAGUUGGUAAGGUAAUGGCUUACCAAGGCGAUGAUGCAUAGCCGAGUUGAGAGACUGAUCGGCCACAAUGGGACUGAGACACGGCCCAUACUCCUACGGGAGGCAGCAGUAGGGAAUCUUCCACAAUGGGCGAAAGCCUGAUGGAGCAACGCCGCGUGUGUGAUGAAGGGUUUCGGCUCGUAAAACACUGUUGUAAGAGAAGAAUGACAUUGAGAGUAACUGUUCAAUGUGUGACGGUAUCUUACCAGAAAGGAACGGCUAAAUACGUGCCAGCAGCCGCGGUAAUACGUAUGUUCCAAGCGUUAUCCGGAUUUAUUGGGCGUAAAGCGAGCGCAGACGGUUAUUUAAGUCUGAAGUGAAAGCCCUCAGCUCAACUGAGGAAUUGCUUUGGAAACUGGAUGACUUGAGUGCAGUAGAGGAAAGUGGAACUCCAUGUGUAGCGGUGAAAUGCGUAGAUAUAUGGAAGAACACCAGUGGCGAAGGCGGCUUUCUGGACUGUAACUGACGUGNG
RNAcentral lists this ribosomal RNA (772 nucleotides) under Weissella confusa. RNAcentral describes it as "bacterial SSU rRNA". It matches the Rfam family "Bacterial small subunit ribosomal RNA", at positions 23 to 750 of the family's 1533-position model. The record is from RNAcentral. Lineage: Bacteria; Bacillati; Bacillota; Bacilli; Lactobacillales; Lactobacillaceae.